UUAGCAGAGAUGCUUUGGUGCCUUCGGGAACUCUGAGACAGGUGCUGCAUGGCUGUCGUCAGCUCGUGUUGUGAAAUGUUGGGUUAAGUCCCGCAACGAGCGCAACCCUUAUCCUUUGUUGCCAGCGGUUAGGCCGGGAACUCAAAGGAGACUGCCAGUGAUAAACUGGAGGAAGGUGGGGAUGACGUCAAGUCAUCAUGGCCCUUACGAGUAGGGCUACACACGUGCUACAAUGGCGCAUACAAAGAGAAGCGACCUCGCGAGAGCAAGCGGACCUCAUAAAGUGCGUCGUAGUCCGGAUUGGAGUCUGCAACUCGACUCCAUGAAGUCGGAAUCGCUAGUAAUCGUAGAUCAGAAUGCUACGGUGAAUACGUUCCCGGGCCUUGUACACACCGCCCGUCACACCAUGGGAGUGGGUUGCAAAAGAAGUAGGUAGCUUAACCUUCGGGAGGGCGCUUACCACUUUGUGAUUCAUGACUGGGGUGAAGUCGUAACAAGGUAACCGUAGGGGAACCUGCGGUUGGAUCACCUCCUUA
This 536-nucleotide ribosomal RNA is filed under the name Leclercia adecarboxylata. RNAcentral describes it as "bacterial SSU rRNA". It matches the Rfam family "Bacterial small subunit ribosomal RNA", at positions 997 to 1533 of the family's 1533-position model. Lineage: Bacteria; Pseudomonadati; Pseudomonadota; Gammaproteobacteria; Enterobacterales; Enterobacteriaceae. The record is from RNAcentral.